Molecule: long non-coding RNA, 288 nt
Filed under: Gallus gallus (chicken)
Lineage: Eukaryota; Metazoa; Chordata; Aves; Galliformes; Phasianidae
Source: RNAcentral
CUGCUUUUCUUUAAAAUAACCUUUGCUGCAGCUAUAGUAUGCUCCGGUUUAAUUAUUUUACUUUUGUUCUCAAAAGCAUUCGUCCUGGCUUCUUCUGCUAGCCGAUGGAGAAACAACAAGAAGCUCAAAUGUACCAGCAAGUCGGUGUUAGCUGCCAGGCGUAAGUGAGGCUUGUGCUUCUUAAUGAUCUUCCGUAAAGUGCCGCGGGGCACCGUGCGCCUCAUCGUCUUUCUCCCCCUUCUCCUUCUGCUCCUGCUGCCGUAACAGGGCCCAGCACCGCCCGCCGCC